Molecule: ribosomal RNA, 786 nt
Filed under: uncultured Neocallimastigales
Lineage: Eukaryota; Fungi; Neocallimastigomycota; Neocallimastigomycetes; Neocallimastigales
Description: partial large subunit ribosomal RNA
Rfam family: Eukaryotic large subunit ribosomal RNA
Source: RNAcentral
AUAGAGACUCAGAGCUGCAUAUCAAUAAGCGGAGGAAAAGAAACUAACAAGGAUUCCCUUAGUAACGGCGAGUGAAGCGGGAAGAGCUCAAAUUUGAAAUCUUCAAGGUUCUACCUUGACGAAUUGUAGUUUAAAGAAGUGUUUUCUGUUAGUGGAGUGGCAAAAGUUCUUUGGAAUAGGACAUCAUAGAGGGUGAGAAUCCCGUAUUUGGUCAUUCCUUCUAGUUUUGUGAUACACUUUCAAAGAGUCGGAUUGUUUGGGAAUGCAGUCCAAAAUGGGUGGUAAAUUUCAUCUAAAGCUAAAUAUUGGCGAGAGACCGAUAGCGAACAAGUACCGUGAGGGAAAGAUGAAAAGAACUUUGAAAAGAGAGUUAAGCAGUACGUGAAAUUGUCAAAAGGGAAGCGUUUGACACCAGUGUUGUUUUUCCGAAAAUCAAUUGACGAAUGUUUUAUUUUUGAAGGAGUUAUGACUUCAUCGGCUUGCUUCUUUCUUUAUCGAAACUUUCUUAAUGCACUUUUCGGUUAACAAGUCAACAUCAAUUUCUUUUGUUGUAAAAGAGGUCAUUGAGGAAGGUGGCUUUCAUUUUCGGAUGAAAGUGUUUAUAGCCUUUGUACUUCUGCAAUCGGAGAGAUUGAGGUCUGCAGCGUAGAUCCUUCGGGGUUAGAUACAUUUGUGCUAAGUUAUAGCCUUUUCAUAGACAACUUGUUGACUAUGAUUCAGUCAUGUAGCUUACUCGCUUAUGUCUAUUUUACCUACGCUUAGGAUGUUGAUAUGCAUGACUGAUAU